Molecule: ribosomal RNA, 499 nt
Filed under: Amblyrhynchus cristatus
Lineage: Eukaryota; Metazoa; Chordata; Lepidosauria; Squamata; Iguanidae
Description: partial 16S ribosomal RNA
Rfam family: Bacterial large subunit ribosomal RNA
Source: RNAcentral
AACGGCCGCGGUAUCCUAACCGUGCAAAGGUAGCGCAAUCACUUGUCUCCUAAAUAGAGACCCGUAUGAAUGGCUAAAUGAGGAUUAACCUGUCUCCUUAGACCAAUCAGUGAAACUGAUCCGCCAGUACAAAAGCUGGCAUAACCCCAUAAGACGAGAAGACCCUGUGGAGCUUUAGACUAACCAGCCAAACCGGGCCCCACCACCCCCCUCUAAUGGCUGAGCAUCUUAAGUUGGGGCGACUUCGGAGCAAAACAAAACCUCCGAGCAAUAGAACAUCAAUCUCCCCGAGGCAGACACGCCAAAGCAAAAAUUGACCCAGUACUACUGACCAUCGAACCAAGUUACCCCAGGGAUAACAGCGCAAUCUUCUUCAAGAGUCCAUAUCGACAAGAAGGUUUACGACCUCGAUGUUGGAUCAGGACACCCAAAUGGUGCAGCCGCUAUUAAUGGUUCGUUUGUUCAACGAUUAACAGUCCUACGUGAUCUGAGUUCAGAC